RNAcentral lists this small RNA (51 nucleotides) under Caenorhabditis elegans. RNAcentral's name for it is "Unclassified non-coding RNA R04E5.15". Lineage: Eukaryota; Metazoa; Nematoda; Chromadorea; Rhabditida; Rhabditidae. The record is from RNAcentral.
CGCCAAUGUAGGCUGAACUGCAAACAAACGCCUGAAGCUUCUUUCUCGACA